Molecule: non-coding RNA, 107 nt
Organism: Pteropus alecto (black flying fox)
Lineage: Eukaryota; Metazoa; Chordata; Mammalia; Chiroptera; Pteropodidae
Source: Rfam
AUGCUUGCUUCGGCAGCACAUAUAGUAAAAUUAGAACGAUACAGAGUAGAUAGGCAUGGCCCCUGCACAAAGAUGAAAUGCAAAUUCAUAAACUGUUCCAUAGUAAA